Molecule: ribosomal RNA, 497 nt
Filed under: uncultured bacterium
Lineage: Bacteria
Description: partial 16S ribosomal RNA
Rfam family: Bacterial small subunit ribosomal RNA
Source: RNAcentral
GAUGAACGCUGGCGGCGUGCCUAAUACAUGCAAGUCGAGCGAACAGACGAGAAGCUUGCUCCUCUGACGUUAGCGGCGGACGGGUGAGUAACACGUGGAUAACCUACCUAUAAGACUGGGAUAACUUCGGGAAACCGGAGCUAAUACCGGAUAAUAUAUUGAACCGCAUGGUUCAAUAGUGAAAGACGGUUUUGCUGUCACUUAUAGAUGGAUCCGCGCCGCAUUAGCUAGUUGGUAAGGUAACGGCUUACCAAGGCAACGAUGCGUAGCCGACCUGAGAGGGUGAUCGGCCACACUGGAACUGAGACACGGUCCAGACUCCUACGGGAGGCAGCAGUAGGGAAUCUUCCGCAAUGGGCGAAAGCCUGACGGAGCAACGCCGCGUGAGUGAUGAAGGUCUUCGGAUCGUAAAACUCUGUUAUUAGGGAAGAACAUAUGUGUAAGUAACUGUGCACGUCUUGACGGUACCUAAUCAGAAAGCCACGGCUAACUACGUG